UUAUUGCCCCAUGGAGGGAACUCUGACGCAGCGUCGCCGCGUGAGCGAUGAAGUUCUUCGGAUCGAUAAGCUCUGUCCUUGGGGAGGACGGUCUUCGGUCUUGACGGUACCUAAGGAGGCAGCCCCCGCUAACUACGUCCCAACAGCCGCGGUAAUACGUAGGGGGCAAGCGUUGUCCGGAAUUAUUGGGCGUAAAGGGUGCGUAGGCGGCCUUUUAAGUCAGAUGUGAAAGCCCACGGCUUAACCGUGGGACUGCAUUUGAAACUGGAGGGCUUGAGUAUCGGAGAGGGUAGGGGAAUUCCCAGUGUAGCGGUGGAAUGCGUAGAUAUUGGGAGGAACACCAGUGGCGAAGGCGACUACCUGGACGAAAACUGACGCUGAGGCACGAAAGCUAGGGGAGCAAAC
This 405-nucleotide ribosomal RNA is filed under the name uncultured bacterium. Its description in RNAcentral is "partial 16S ribosomal RNA". It matches the Rfam family "Bacterial small subunit ribosomal RNA", at positions 359 to 773 of the family's 1533-position model. The record is from RNAcentral.